RNAcentral lists this transfer RNA (72 nucleotides) under Ovis aries (sheep). It matches the Rfam family "tRNA". Rfam says of the family: Transfer RNA (tRNA) molecules are approximately 80 nucleotides in length. The record is from Rfam by way of RNAcentral. Lineage: Eukaryota; Metazoa; Chordata; Mammalia; Artiodactyla; Bovidae.
UCCCUCGUAGCUCAGUCGGUGAAGCAUCUGCCUGUAAUGUGGGAAAUCCAGGUUUGAUUCCUGGGUGGGGAA